AACUUUCAACAACGGAUCUCUUGGUUCCAGCAUCGAUGAAGAACGCAGCGAAAUGCGAUAAGUAAUGUGAAUUGCAGAAUUCAGUGAAUCAUCGAAUCUUUGAACGCACAUUGCGCCCCUCGGUAUUCCGGGGGGCAAGCCUGUUCGAGCGUCAUU
RNAcentral lists this ribosomal RNA (156 nucleotides) under Parmelina pastillifera. RNAcentral's name for it is "5.8S ribosomal RNA". It matches the Rfam family "5.8S ribosomal RNA". From Rfam's summary of the family: 5.8S ribosomal RNA (5.8S rRNA) is a component of the large subunit of the eukaryotic ribosome. It is transcribed by RNA polymerase I as part of the 45S precursor that also contains 18S and 28S rRNA. Lineage: Eukaryota; Fungi; Ascomycota; Lecanoromycetes; Lecanorales; Parmeliaceae. The record is from RNAcentral.